Phascolarctos cinereus (koala) is the source of this 1543-nucleotide long non-coding RNA. Lineage: Eukaryota; Metazoa; Chordata; Mammalia; Diprotodontia; Phascolarctidae. The record is from Ensembl.
GAAAGCUUCCAGGGACGGGGAAAAUAGCAUGCGUUUUCUGGGUUUAUGCCAUCACUUCAUUUUGGGCGUGAGCCAAAAAACUUUGCAUCUUUCAGAGCUGAUUCUCCAGAGGGACUUUUAAGUGGCUAACAAGUAUUUUAUGCUUCAGAAGGGGGACAGUGAGGCAUCUCCCUACUACCAUUUCUGAGAUCAUUCUCCACUAUGCAUCAACGGGUCCCUGCUUCCCCAUGGGGAGUGGGGAGUGUUCUACGUUGAUAGUUCUAGGAGAGCCCGGUGGAGAGCCUGGAAUCGGGACCUCGCUACAGCCUUGACUGCUAACGGGAAAACAGCUCAGCUUUGCUGGGAGCUAGUCGCUGCGCAUGGUGUUUGCCAGCAUGAUGGUUCGCGUGAUUUCUUCCAGGCCAAGGACCACCUUUGGCAACUCGCUCUCCAACAAUGAGUGUCGCUUACACACUUGCCCCACGGAUUGUGAAAAGGCGAGGCAAUGAUGCCGAACGUCCAUGCCACAGUUCUAGGGUCAGAGUCACCCUGAGGCGCCCUUUUCUGCAGAGCCUUUGGACUUCAUUCAUCCAGACCCCAGCGAAAGCGUUCCCGGCCAUCCUUCAUAAACCCUACCUUACUCAAGGCAAUUACAGGAACCCGGCGAAGGUCCACCUACCCAGUACCAGUACCACUCUCACUCCUCCUCCCCCACCCUGCAAGCCCCAAAGCAGCGCAUUCUCUCCCGGAAACAACCCUGCUGAGCAAAGGCGGAGGAAAACCUUGGGCCUUCCGCCCUGAUUGGUCUCCCCCCGCAGAGCUGGGCGAGGCAGCGAUUGGCUGCCGGCUGUUGUCAGUCGGGGGAGAUCAGUGCCAUCGCUGGGUAAGUGGAGCCGGCCGGGGCUUUGGUGCUCCCACUGCCGCCGCGGCUGCUCCGGCUGGUGCAGCUGUGGCGAGCUCGCGCUGGGCGGCGGGCGCUGCUGCCACCGCUGCUGCUGCUGCUGCUGCUGCUGCUGCGGGCGCUGCUGCUACGGUAGGAGGAGGAGAAGGAGGAGGAAGAGGACGAGGUGGAGGAGGAGGCGGUGGCGGCGGUGGCGGCGGUGCAAGAGAAGGAGGAGGCGGAGAAGUGAUGCUGGCGCCAGGGAUCCGGGCAGCGGCGGCGGCAACAGCAUCAUCGCCGGGAGUGCAGCUGCAACAGCCCCGUAGCCAUCCAGCCGGGCGGCCGGCCGAAGACAACAAACCCAACUGAGACUGCGGGUCCGCCUUACAUCUUUGGGUUACAGAGAGGAACAGUGAAUCUUCUUUUGUCACCCCACCCCCUAGUCCAAAUCAGUGAAUAUCAGGAGCCUCCGGAAGCAGCUUCAUGCUCUGAGAGUCUAUUUCUCCACUACAUUGUCCACUUUAGGGCAACUCCUUUGGACGUGCUUCCCAGGUAGGGAAUGGAAAAGAAAGAGGCACUAGUGACUGUAUUCAAGGGGCAAAGCUUUUGGAUAGGACCUGUGAGAUCCCGCAGUGAGUUGAGAGGAGCUCUUUGCCCGCUGAGGGCGGAGAAGGUAACAAAAGG